RNAcentral lists this ribosomal RNA (250 nucleotides) under uncultured bacterium. Its description in RNAcentral is "partial 16S ribosomal RNA". It matches the Rfam family "Bacterial small subunit ribosomal RNA", at positions 524 to 775 of the family's 1533-position model. The record is from RNAcentral.
UACGUAGGGUGCGAGCGUUAAUCGGAUUUAUUGGGUUUAAUGGGUGCGUAGGCUGGUAGUUAAGUCAGUGGUGAAAUUUCCCGGCUCAACCGGGGGGCUGCCGUUGAUACUGAUUACCUUGAGAAGAUGAUGUGGGCGGAAUGUGUCAUGUAGCGGUGAAAUGCAUAGAGAUGACACAGAACACCGAUAGCGAAGGCAGCUCACAAAGCUAUAACUGACGCUGAGGCACGAAAGCGUGGGGAUCAAACAG